This is a long non-coding RNA of Monodelphis domestica (gray short-tailed opossum), 1748 nucleotides long. RefSeq lists it as uncharacterized. NCBI's taxonomy places the organism in Eukaryota, Metazoa, Chordata, Mammalia, Didelphimorphia, Didelphidae. The record is from RefSeq and is a predicted model, not a curated record.
CAUUUCCGCAAUGGGUGCAGCUUCUACAGAGAGAAGUUGGUGGGCCAGAGGCGGAGCCCUAGCCCUAUCCCUGUCCCCUGAGGGACCUCAGAAUUGUUGGUGUUUCCACGGGCCCCCUCCGGGACAAUGACUUUUGCUCAGCUGGUCCCAUGAAGCAUCCCCUCCAAUCUCCGUGAUGUCUGUUUCAAAGUACAUAAUGCUGGACUUGGCUGGCCUCCCUCUAUUUACCAAGAAAGUUCUAGAGGAUGGCAUUCCGCGCAUCUCUACCAAACCUAAACUGUUGCCUUCGGUGAUGUGCACAGAAUUUGAAAAAACCUGUCGAGGUCUGCUUUCCUUAGGGGGCCUCAUUCAGAGCCCAUCUUCCCUCCUUCAAGCCAGACCGGGAUUCCAGCAUCGGGGAUCCCCCUUUCCCCUCCUUCUUCAGUUGUGUAAAGGCUGGAGGACAUCCUCUGAAAUGCUCCCAGCCUUUGGCAAGAGAAGGAAGGAGGCCAAAACCAGUACCUGACCCACAGGGAGACACCACUCAUCUCCUCAACGAAGAACUUGGAAUUGAUGGUGUUGACAUGAGGUCCUACAGGACACUGCCCUCUGUCCACUUGGGCUCCCAGCCAUGCCCAGAAGGCUCCAUGAAGUCAGCUGCAAAACAGUCAACCAUCACAUGUACCCACCCCUAAACACUGAGACCCUAAAGUGACUCUUGUAAUCCAAGAGAUGAGUUUUGGCCCCAAUCUUGGCCAAUAUCCUUCGACUUUCCCCUGAGUCCCCUGAACAGACUUCGAUGAGGCCUUUCUCUUGAUCAGGGCUCCCCAGAUCCUCACAACCUCCAGGACCCUCCAUUUGAAAGCGGAGCCUAUUGUCCUGGUUCUCUCCCCUCUUGAUUGUUACAUAGGGUGGGGACUUGUUCGGACACCUCUGGAAACACAAACAUAAUCAGGUAAUUGUCCUCACAUAACAUUUACACUAAUGUUCUCUCCUAUCUUUAGUGUAAUUUCUCUAAAACAUUUCAAGAAAGACUAUACCUUCAGUGAAUGGAUUUUGCAAAGACUGUUAGAGGUCUACCCUGUAAUUCUUCUUCAAGUACAACCAUUCCCACCUUCAUAAAGGGAAGAUUAGAACCCUGUAAUGUUUCGGUGCUGUACUUUUAGAAGGAAAGUGCCCAUUUUGGAUUUGGGACAUCAUUGUUCUGGAAUAAUGAGAUGGUGGUCCACCCCUCUCAUGCCUGCAGUUCACUAUCUUAUGCCAUUAACGAGGAGACUGCCAUUUUCUGCUCCUGGUGUGUAGGUGGGGGACUACUUGUUAAUGGUUUCUGUGGGAAUGGCAUGAGUAGGGAAGGCUACUAAGUGACUGUGGAAAGUAGGGAGUUCAUGGACUGAGAAUGGAAGAUGUGAGGACGUGAUUGUCUGUGUGGGAUGUGUGAUCUCUCUAUAGAUCCUGUGCAAUGUGGGGCAGGACUCUGUGUGGACAGGGAUGCCUCUACAGUAAUCCAAGGGCCAGAAACCUACUGGCCAUUCUCCAGGAAUACGAGCUUUUCCCACAAGACCAAUGGAACGUGAGCAUUUCUUCUGUCUUUCUUGAAUAUUUUGUGUCUUGUAAACAGACUGGGUUAUAGACAAUGGCAUCAGCUCACAGUGUGUUUUCAUUUAUGCCUAGAAUCAGGACUAGAACAAGACAGCCUAAACCAAUGCCAGUGCGACUUUUGGGGUGAAUGAUCGAACGACUAAUAAAAUAAAGUCAUCUUCCCUAAACAA